Molecule: ribosomal RNA, 438 nt
Filed under: uncultured bacterium
Lineage: Bacteria
Description: bacterial SSU rRNA
Rfam family: Bacterial small subunit ribosomal RNA
Source: RNAcentral
AUGGGAACGCGAAGAACCUUACCUAGACUUGACAUCCCCUGAAUAACGUAGAGAUACAUGAAGCCCUUCGGGGCAGGAAGACAGGUGGUGCAUGGUUGUCGUCAGCUCGUGUCGUGAGAUGUUGGGUUAAGUCCCGCAACGAGCGCAACCCUUAUUACUAGUUGCUACCAUUAAGUUGAGCACUCUAGUGAGACUGCCCGGGGUUAACCGGGGAGGAAGGCGGGGAUGACGUCAAAUCAUCAUGCCCCUUAUGUCUAGGGCAACACACGUGCUACAAUGGUGAGUACAGAUAGAUGCGAUACCGCAAGGUGGAGCCAAACUCUAAAACUCAUCCCAGUUCGGAUUGUAGGCUGCAACUCGCCUACAUGAAGUUGGAGUUGCUAGUAAUCGCGAAUCAGAAUGUCGCGGUGAAUACGUUCCCGGGUCUUGUACACACCG